AGGACGAACGCUGGCGGCGUGCUUAACACAUGCAAGUCGAACGGAAAGGCCCGCUUGCGGGUACUCGAGUGGCGAACGGGUGAGUAACACGUGGGCAACCUGCCCUCAGCUUCGGGAUAACACUUGGAAACAGGUGCUAAUACCGGAUAAUAACCUUUCAUCGCAUGGUGGUGGGUUCAAAGUUUUUCGGCUGAGGAUGGGCCCGCGGCCUAUCAGCUUGUUGGUGGGUAAUGGCCUACCAAGGCGACGACGGGUA
RNAcentral lists this ribosomal RNA (256 nucleotides) under uncultured bacterium. RNAcentral describes it as "partial small subunit ribosomal RNA". It matches the Rfam family "Bacterial small subunit ribosomal RNA", at positions 26 to 285 of the family's 1533-position model. The record is from RNAcentral.